CGGGCAUUACUGCACGAAGUGCGAUAGGGGGAUCCCAAGUGCACAGGCAUAGCGCCUGUGCUUUUCGGUACCCUAAGGCGGUACCAGAAUAAGGGCUGGGCAAGACCGGUGCCAGCCGCCGCGGUAAUACCGGCAGCCCAAGUGAUGGCCGAUCUUAUUGGGCCUAAAGCGUCCGUAGCUGGCCGCGCAAGUCCAUCGGGAAAUCCACCUGCUCAACAGGUGGGCGCCCGGUAGAAACUGCGUGGCUUGGGACCGGAAGGCGCGACGGGUACGUCCGGGGUAGGAGUGAAAUCCCGUAAUCCUGGACGGACCGCCGAUGGCGAAAGCACGUCGCGAGAACGGAUCCGACAGUGAGGGACGAAAGCCAGGGUCUCGAACCGGAUUAGAUACCCGGGUAGUCCUGGCCGUAAACAAUGUCUGCUAGGUGUGGCUCCCACUACGAGUGGGUGCUGUGCCGUAGGGAAGCCGCUAAGCAGACCGCCUGGGAAGUACGUCCGCAAGGAUGAAACUUAAAGGAAUUGGCGGGGGAGCACUACAACCGGAGGAGCCUGCGGUUUAAUUGGACUCAACGCCGGACAUCUCACCAGCAUCGACUGUAGUAAUGACGAUCAGGUUGAUGACCUUAUCCGAGCUUCAGAGAGGAGGUGCAUGGCCGCCGUCAGCUCGUACCGUGAGGCGUCCUGUUAAGUCAGGCAACGAGCGAGACCCGCACCCUUACUUGCCAGCAGUACCGCGAGGUAGCUGGGGACAGUAGGGGGACCGCCGUGGCUAACACGGAGGAAGGAACGGGCAACGGUAGGUCAGUAUGCCCCGAAUGUGCUGGGCAACACGCGGGCUACAAUGGUCGAGACAAAGGGUUCCAACUCCGAAAGGAGACGGUAAUCUCAGAAACUCGAUCGUAGUUCGGAUUGUGGGCUGCAACUCGCCCACAUGAAGCUGGAUUCGGUAGUAAUCGCGUGUCACAAGCGCGCGGUGAAUACGUCCCUGCUCUUGCCAACCGCCCGCGCCAAAAAAAAAAACUUUCUAGGCCGG
Molecule: ribosomal RNA, 1032 nt
Filed under: uncultured Halorubrum sp.
Lineage: Archaea; Methanobacteriati; Methanobacteriota; Halobacteria; Halobacteriales; Haloferacaceae
Description: bacterial SSU rRNA
Rfam family: Archaeal small subunit ribosomal RNA
Source: RNAcentral